UCAUGCUCAGAUUCAGAGCAACUGAGUUUUUAAUAACUUCACUUAGAUUUUCACAUUGUGGGUUUGAUAUUCAGAAGAAAUAUGACUUCCGGAUAUAGCUUCUGUCUUGCCUUUAUGUUGUUAGGUAUUGUAAACAGUGACACAGUGACACAGGCAGAAUUAACUGAGGAUGCCUAUGAAGGGAAUAAUGUCCAACUUUCAUGUAAUUUCACAGCAGCUAGUACAACCCAGCCUAGCAUAAUCUUCUACCGUCAGAAACCAAAUGGACCAGUUGAAAACCUAGGAGUUGAUGUGGCUAGAUAUAAAAAUAAUUCUGAAAGCGGAAGGUUUUCAGUCAUCUUUGACUAUUCCAAGAGCUUUGCAAUUCUACAUAUCUCCAAUACUCAGGUGUCUGACUCAGCAGUUUAUUAUUGUGCAUUGAGUGACACAGUAACAGUCAGUCCUGUAACACUGUACAAGAAACCAAGCUUCAUGUAAUAGAAAUGUUAUGCAACAAUUUAUCUCCAUCCUAAAUUAAAAUAUAUAUAUUUUAUUGAACGUUGUGCAUUUUAUAUAAACUGUUAAAUGUCAUAUAGCUCACUGUAACAGCUCAAGUUCCACUACUGCUGUCCAACUUCUCAUUCAAACUGAUCCCCUGCAAUUAUUACCCCUCAUUGCCCAAUAAAUUGUUUAUAAAAUCAUCCCCAUAUGAUCUCAGAGACAACACAAAUAAUGCAUUGCCACCACUAAAGUCAUAGUUAUAAAAAAGCAGUACAUUAA
Molecule: non-coding RNA, 759 nt
Organism: Protopterus annectens (West African lungfish)
Lineage: Eukaryota; Metazoa; Chordata; Ceratodontiformes; Protopteridae
Source: the annotation of a RefSeq genome assembly